ACGGCGAGUGAAGUGCAGAAAGCUCAACUUUGAAAUCUGGCUGCUUCGCAGUCCGAGUUGUAGUCUCGAGAAGUGUUUUCCGCGUUAAACCGUGUAUGAGUCUGUUGGAACACAGCGUCAUAGAGGGUGAGAACCCCUUUCAUGGCACGGCUUUUAAUGCUUUGUGAUACACUUUCGAUGAGUCGAGUUGUUUGGGAAUGCAGCUCAUAAUGGUUGGUAAAUUCCAUCUAAAGCUAAAUAUUGGCGAGAGACCGAUAGCCAACAAGUACCGCGAGGGAAAGAUGAAAAGCACUUUGGAAAGAGAGUUAAAAGUACGUGAAAUUGUUGAAAGGGAAACGCUUGAAGUCAGACGUGCGCGGUAUUCAUUACCGUUGCAGG
Molecule: ribosomal RNA, 378 nt
Filed under: Hasegawazyma sp.
Lineage: Eukaryota; Fungi; Basidiomycota; Cystobasidiomycetes; Erythrobasidiales
Description: partial large subunit ribosomal RNA
Rfam family: Eukaryotic large subunit ribosomal RNA
Source: RNAcentral